CUCCUACGGGGCGCAGCAGUGGGGAAUAUUGGACAAUGGGGGGAACCCUGAUCCAGCGACGCCGCGUGAGUGAAGAAGUAUUUCGGUAUGUAAAGCUCUAUCAGCAGGGAAGAAAGAAAUGACGGUACCUGACUAAGAAGCCCCGGCUAACUACGUGCCAGCAGCCGCGGUAAUACGUAGGGGGCAAGCGUUAUCCGGAUUUACUGGGUGUAAAGGGAGCGUAGACGGCAGGGCAAGUCUGGAGUGAAAGGCAGGGGCCCAACCCCUGGACUGCUCUGGAAACUGUCCGGCUGGAGUGCAGGAGG
This 305-nucleotide ribosomal RNA is filed under the name uncultured bacterium. RNAcentral's name for it is "bacterial SSU rRNA". It matches the Rfam family "Bacterial small subunit ribosomal RNA", at positions 336 to 655 of the family's 1533-position model. The record is from RNAcentral.